Molecule: ribosomal RNA, 377 nt
Filed under: uncultured eukaryote
Lineage: Eukaryota
Description: partial 18S ribosomal RNA
Rfam family: Eukaryotic small subunit ribosomal RNA
Source: RNAcentral
CAAUAGCGUAUAUUUAAGUUGCUGCAGUUAAAAAGCUCGUAGUUGGAUUUCGGGUGGGAAUGGCCGGUCCGCCGUUUCGGUGUGCACUUGCUACGCCCACCUUGCUGCCGGAGACGUGCUCUUGAGUUCACGCUCGGGACACGGAGUCGGCGAGGUUACUUUGAGUAAAUUAGAGUGUUCAAAGCAGGCCUACGCUCUGAAUACAUUAGCAUGGAAUAACACGAUAGGACUCUGGCCUAUCUUGUUGGUCUGUAGGACCGGAGUAAUGAUUAAGAGGGACAGUCGGGGGCAUUCGUAUUUCAUUGUCAGAGGUGAAAUUCUUGGAUUUAUGAAAGACGAACUACUGCGAAAGCAUUUGCCAAGGAUGUUUUCAUUAA